UACGAAGGGGGCUAGCGUUGCUCGGAAUCACUGGGCGUAAAGGGUGCGUAGGCGGGUUUUUAAGUCAGAGGUGAAAUCCUGGAGCUCAACUCCAGAACUGCCUUUGAUACUGAAAGUCUUGAGUAUGGGAGAGGUGAGUGGAACUGCGAGUGUAGAGGUGAAAUUCGUAGAUAUUCGCAAGAACACCAGUGACGAAGGCGGCUCACUGGCCCAUAACUGACGCUGAGGUGCGAAAGCGUGGGGAGCAAACAGG
This 253-nucleotide ribosomal RNA is filed under the name uncultured bacterium. RNAcentral describes it as "partial 16S ribosomal RNA". It matches the Rfam family "Bacterial small subunit ribosomal RNA", at positions 524 to 776 of the family's 1533-position model. The record is from RNAcentral.